CGGCGGGGCCGUGAGGGGCGGGAGCGGCCCCGCCCCCUCAGUCCAAAUCCAGCCGGGACAGAGCCCAAAUCCAGCCGGGAAGCAGCCAGGCGCCACCGCCCGACCCCACAGCGGCACGGAACGGUGCAGUGAAUAAACCUAUUUUGCAGUUAUCCCAGUCAGCAACAUCCACCUGUUGAAUAUUACUUGGAUACUGACCCCACAAGAGAAAAAUUACAGGAUCCUGUGGAGAUACAGGGCUGGUUUGGAUACCCAGUCCUAUUCCAGC
Long non-coding RNA from Neopelma chrysocephalum (saffron-crested tyrant-manakin), 268 nucleotides. RefSeq lists it as uncharacterized. The record is from RefSeq and is a predicted model, not a curated record. Lineage: Eukaryota; Metazoa; Chordata; Aves; Passeriformes; Pipridae. The transcript has 3 exons.